Molecule: unclassified non-coding RNA, 386 nt
Filed under: soil metagenome
Description: partial contains 5.8S ribosomal RNA, internal transcribed spacer 2, and large subunit ribosomal RNA
Rfam family: 5.8S ribosomal RNA (bases 1-120)
Source: RNAcentral
GAUGAAGAACGCAGCGAAAUGCGAUAAGUAAUGUGAAUUGCAGAAUUCAGUGAAUCAUCGAAUCUUUGAACGCACCUUGCGCUCCUUGGUAUUCCGAGGAGCAUGCCUGUUUGAGUGUCAUUAAAUUCUCAACCUCACCAGUUUUCUGAACUGUUCUCCGAGGCUUGGAUGUGGGGGUUUGUGCAGGCUGCCUCAGCGCGGUCUGCUCCCCUGAAAUGCAUUAGCGAGUUCGAUACUGAGCUCCGUCUAUUGGUGUGAUAAUUAUCUACGCCGUGGAUCGGGGCUUAGACUCGCUUCUAACCGUCCGCAAGGACAAUACCUUGACAAUUUGACCUCAAAUCAGGUAGGACUACCCGCUGAACUUAAGCAUAUCAAUAAGCGGAGGA